RNAcentral lists this unclassified non-coding RNA (11909 nucleotides) under Daphnia pulex (common water flea). RNAcentral's name for it is "sushi, von Willebrand factor type A, EGF and pentraxin domain-containing protein 1-like, transcript variant X2". The record is from RNAcentral. Lineage: Eukaryota; Metazoa; Arthropoda; Branchiopoda; Diplostraca; Daphniidae.
UCAAGCCGGUUGUCGAUUGUCGUUCGAGCUUCAGUUGGCCGCCGGAUCGUAGCCGAGUCGAACGUGUUUUGUGUCUACCUCCUCUCCAAAAUCCCAACGACUGGGACUUGUGUGAAUUUUUAGAAAAUAUUUUUGCAGUUGGAACAUUUGGAAUUUUCUUUUUUUUUUUUUUGGAAAUCAGCCAUCUUUGUUUGAUUUUGUUGUUUUGUCGUCUGUGGGUGGCAUCGUGUCAUCGAUCGUGAUGAUUAAUCGUGUCAGCUUAUGGUGAUAUUUCGCAAGUGAAAAUUCCAGCAGAAGACAGAACAACUGACAUAUCUGCCCAGAACAACUUUUGGACAUUUUGAUUUUUUGAAUAUUUCGGAGCCAAUUCUUCGAUUCAGUUGAUGAACGACAAUUUCGGGAUUCGCAUUAGCACAGAGAGCGGGUCCACGAUGGCGUUGCGGCGAUGCCGAGUGGCGCUUCUGGCCGCCCUGGUCCUCUUAGCCUCGUCGUCCGUUCGAUCUCAAGAGAACGAACUCUUUCACUGCCCUGAUGGAUGGCGACUACAGGGACUCCACUGCUACAGGUUCUUCGAGGUGCAGCAUUCGUGGGAGAGGGCGGCUGAUUUGUGUAAACGUUAUGGCAGUGACUUGGUCGUGGUGGAGAGCUACCAGCAAAACAACAUUUCCGAGAGGUUGGCGCAGGAGCAGCUGAACCCCGUGACGCAUCCGGACGCCGCCUUCUGGCUGGGCUUGAUGUCGCUCGACGACCUGAGUACCAAUACCCUUGAAGCCGCAUCCGGCUCCCUGGUCCAACAAUACGCCGGUUUCUGGCAAGUGGACCAACCGGAUGCGAGGAAAGGCCAAUGUGUUCGAGCUUCCACGGCCAACGCUGACCAGUCGUGGGCUUUGAGCUCUUGCGAGUCUCUACUUCCCUUCGUCUGCCGGGCAAAAGCCUGUCCUAAAAACAGUUUCCUUUGCUCGAAUGGCCGGUGCAUUAACGGCGCAUUGCGCUGCGACACGCAAGACGAUUGCGGUGACGGAUCGGAUGAGAAUGCCUGCCCGGAAGAGUGUCAUUACCACAUGGUCUCGAGUGGCGACUCGAUCGAGAGCCCCAACUACCCGGGCAAGUACCGGCCACUGGCCGACUGCAAGUGGACGCUGGAAGGGCCUGUGGGCACGUCGAUUGUUCUCCAGUUCACGGAAUUCGACACGGAGCGCACCUUCGACACGGUGCAGAUUUUGGCGGGCGGACGGACUGAGGACUCUUCCGUCACUUUGGCCACUCUGUCCGGCAAGCAGAACAUCAGCACGCAAUUUUUCACUUCGGCUUCCAACUUUAUGAUCGUCCGCUUCCGUUCGGAUGCGACGGUGGAGAAGAACGGCUUCAGAGCCUCGUGGAAAACGGAGCCCGUCUCUUGCGGCGAACACCUCAAAGCCCUGCCACAAGGCAAGGAACUCACUUCGCCCGGCUACCCGCAAGCUUAUCCAGGUGGCCUCGAGUGCCUCUACGUCAUUUCUGCCCCGCUGGGCAAAGUUGUCACGCUCGUCAUCGAAGAUUUUGAGAUGGAACCCCACAAGGAUUACGUUCUCAUCCGCAACGGACCCGAAUCGGACUCUGAGAAGCUGGCCAUGUUGACGGGCCGGUCGGACGAACUGCCCACCUAUCUCCAGUCGACGACCGAGGCCAUGUACCUGUACAUCCACACGGAUUUGAGCGAUUCUCGCAAGGGAUUCCGCUUCCGCUACUCGGUCGGCUGCGACCUGUCGCUGGAGGCGGCCAACGGAACCCUCGUCUCGCCCGGCUACGACAUGGAAACCAUCGACUUCCGUUAUCCCAACAACCUGGAGUGCGACUACCGUCUGCGAGCCCCCGGCGGAUCGCCUUUGUCGCUCCGCUUUGCCGAAUUCCAGGUGGACGACACUGACAGCGUCCAGCUCUACGACGGCAGCAGCAGCAACGGCAUCGCCCUCUCUCCGGCCGAAGGAUUCCGUGGCAAGACGGAGCCCAAGGGCGCCACCUUUUCCGCCCACAGCGGCGACUUGCUCAUCCGCUUCAAGUCAGACGCUCUGAGAAACGACCGCGGAUGGAAGAUCAUGUUCUCGGCUGAUUGCGCGGAAUUACUGCUGGACGAGAACGCCAUCAUGUCCAGCAAGCAACGCAUUUUCGGCAGUAAUGUCACCAUCACCUGUCCGCCCGGCAUGGAAUUCGCCACCGGCGUCAAGAAGAUAAUGACCGAGUGCUUGAACGGUGGACGCUGGUCUACGCCUUACAUCCCCAAAUGCCAGGCCGUCUAUUGCGGUCCGGUGCCUCAGAUCGACAACGGAUUCGCCAUUGCGGCCACCAACGUGACGUUUGGCGGCGAGGCCCAGUACCAGUGCUACGCUGGAUUCGGCUUUCCUUCCGGCCAGGCCAUUGAAACGAUCCGGUGUACGGGAGACGGGCAAUGGGACAUGGUUCCGCAGUGCUCGGCCUCUCAGUGCACUCCGCUGCCGGAAGUGGCCCACGCCAACGCCACCAACCUCAACGGCGGUGGAAUGAACUACGGCUCGGUCAUCCGCUUCGAGUGCGAGCCCGGCUACGUCCGCACCGGAGAUCCGGUACUCCUGUGCCAGAGCAACGGCACUUGGUCCGGCGCCGUUCCUUCCUGCUCCAAGAUCCAGUGCCGCACCUUCCCGGAGAUCGACAACGGAUGGGUCAGCAACCGGACGCGGACCUAUUUCUUCGGCGAUGAGACCCGCGCCCAGUGCUACCGCGGCUACAAACUCAACGGCACCACCGUCAUCCGCUGCGGAGCCGACGGCAAAUUUGCCAACGUCCCCACCUGUUUGGACGUGGACGAAUGUGGCGGAUCCGGCGGAAGCACAUCCUCCUCCUCGCCUUGCGAUCAAGCCUCGGCCACCUGCACCAACGUUCCGGGCUCUUUCCAGUGCGGAUGCCGAUCCGGAUUCAUUCCCAACUUGGACUGCCGACCUGUUGUCGACCUCGGCCUGGGCAACGGAGGCGUUCCCAAUCCAUCCAUUUCCGUCUCGUCGGCCGAAAAGGGAUUCCCCAAGGAGAAUGUCCGUCUGAGCACCAAAGGCGGAUGGUGUGGAGCCGAAAGCGGUUCCGGCAGCAAUUGGGUCAUGAUUGACUUUAAGGCGCCGACCGUCCUGCGCGGAUUCCGCACCCAGCCGGUCCUCCGCGGCUCCAGCGGCGUCGCUUUCGCUUCAUCCAUUCGACUCCAGUACGCCGAUGACGCCGACGACCUCUUCCGCGAAUACAAGAGCCCCGAAGGAGCCCCGGUCGAGUUCCGCAUUCCGGAAGGCACCAGCAUCGCCGUGGUGAACUUGCCGACGGCCAUUGAAGCCCGCUACUUCCGCCUUGUCAUUCAAGACUACUCUGUGGCUCCGUGCCUCCGCAUGGAAAUGAUGGGCUGCACCCGGACCGAGUGCCUGGACGUUGACGAAUGCGCCGUCGCCAACGGCAGCUGCCAGCAGAAAUGCAUCAACAAUCCGGGCGGAUUCGCUUGCUCUUGCAGUCAGGGAUACGACCUCUACACCCAAAACGGAACGGCCGGUUUCCACAUCCUGGAUUCCGAGACUGGACUGCGCGACGGCGAUCUCUACCGAAUCAACAAAACUUGCGUCAAGAAAAUGUGUCCGGCCGUCAAGAGUCCAGAAAACGGACACAUGCUCACCACUCGGGCCAGCCACCAUUUCGGCGACGAAGUCAACUUCCAUUGCCGGAUCGGCUACAUCAUGGUCGGCGCCAGCAGCAUCCAGUGCACGGCAGCCGGAACUUGGAAUGCCUCGGUUCCCGAAUGCCAGCCGGCCCAGUGCGUCUCGCUGGCCGACGACCAAUCGGAAGGUUUGACUGUGGCUCGAUCCAGCCCGGCUGAUAAUCAACUCGUUCCCUACGGCCAGAACAUCACCCUGUCGUGUAACGAGCCUGGGCGCCCGCUUGUUCGAACCCCGACCUCCUCCUUCCGCCAGUGCGUCUACGAUCCGAGAGCUGGAUUCCCGCAGUACUGGUUUUCCGGUGCCCAGCCCAGCUGCCCGCGUAUCGAUUGCGGUAAACCAUCAGAGACACCUGGCGCCGAAUACGGAUUCUUCCCGGACACUCGCUACAAGUCCAGCUUCUUCUUCGGAUGCCAGCCGACGUUCACUUUGACUGGGCAAUCAUCUCGCAACGACAAUGUCGUCCGUUGCAUGGAGAACGGCGUCUGGGACUUUGGCGAUCUGCGCUGCGAGGGUCCCGUCUGCGAAGAUCCUGGCCGUCCGGCUGACGGCAUUCAACUGGCCACCAGCUACGAGCAGGGAGCCGAAAUUUCGUUCCAGUGCACCCGACCCGGAUACAUCCCCAUCACGUCGGCGCCGAUCCAGUGCGUCCGCGAACCGGAAUGCAGCGUCGUCAGACCGAUCGGCAUCACUUCCGGUCGUAUUCCGGACGGCAGCUUCAACGCCACAUCGGAGAGGCGCAACUACGAAGCCAGAAAGGCCCGCAUGAACUCGGCCACCGGAUGGUGUGCCCAGCAGGAGGAAGCUUUCACUUACGUCAGCGUCGACUUGGGAACGGUCCACCGCGUCAAGGCCAUCCUGGUCAAGGGCGUCGUCACCAACGACGUCGUCGGCCGUCCCACUGAAAUCCGCUUCUUUUACAAACAGGAUCCGUCUGAGAAUUUCGUCGUCUACUUCCCCAAUUUCAAUUUGACUUCCCGCGAUCCAGGCAACUACGGCGAGCUGGCCAUGAUCACCCUGCCUCUGGCUGUCCAGGCCCGUUUCGUCAUCCUGGGCAUUGUGGCCUACGACAAGAAUCCCUGUCUCAAAUUUGAACUGAUGGGCUGCCCCGAUGAGCCGGAAGAGGACCGACUACUCGGCUACGACCUGGGCUACCCCGUCUGCGUCGACAACGAUCCGCCUCAGUUCCUCAACUGCCCGAAUUCGGCCAUCCGCGUCAAGAGGUCGGCCGAAGGGAUGGGCGUGGUGGAUUUCGUGGUGCCGACGGCCUCCGACAACAGCGGCAUGAUCGCCCGAACGGAAGUCCGUCCGGAAGGAUUCCGCCCGCCUCUGACCGUCUUCCAGGACACGAUGGUCGAAUAUUUUGCCUACGAUUUCGACGGCAACGUGGCCAUCUGUCAGAUCAACAUCACCGUCAUCGACGAGGAGCCGCCUCUGCUCCAGUGCCCGCAGAGUUUCGUCAUCGAACUGGUCGAACCUCAGGAAUCCUACCAGGUGUUUUUCAACGAAACCCGCCGUCGCGUCGUCGUUUCGGACGCUUCCGGACAAGAUGUGGCCGUCACUUUCAUCCCGGAGAGCGCCUUCAUCCGUGUCGGCAGCUAUGAGAAUGUCACUGUUGUGGCCACCGAUCCUUCCGGCAAUCAGCAAAAGUGCUACUUCCAGGUGUCCGUCCAGCCGACUCAGUGCGUUGACUGGGAACUGAAAGCCCCCGCCAACGGAGCCAUCAAUUGCCUACCACCCAGCAACCGGCCGGCCGGAAGCGGCGGUCUUGAGUGUGUCGCCACCUGCAAUCCGGGAUUCCGUUUCACCGACGGCGAGCCCGUCAAGUCUUUCCGUUGCGACGUCAAACAGCCGUGGACUCCUGGACAUGUGGUGCCCGACUGCGUCACCGAAGAGACUCAACAGGCUAUGUACAACGUUGUGGCCAAAGUUUUGUACAGAGCUGGAGCGGCUACUGCGGCCAUUCCGGCCACUUGUCUCUCGCAAUACACCACUGUCGUCCGGCCGUUCUACCAAGCGCUGGAUCGCGCCCUAUCGGCCCGCUGCUCGGCCAUCAGCGUCGACAUGAACGUCACCUUUGUCGAAACGCAAACUGAGAUGCACUUGGUUGAGGACAACAUUGCCGAAAUCACUUACGUCCUGUCCAUCAUGCCCGCUGUCCGUCAACCCCAACUCUACGACCUGUGCGGAUCGACUUUGGGCCUCGUUUUUGACCUUUCCGUCCCGUCGACCAGCGCCGUUUUGGCCCCACUUCUCGAUUUGGCCGCCACCUCCAACGCUGAAUGCCCACCCAUGAAGGCCGUCAACUCCUCACUGAGCCGAGGAUUUGCCUGCGGCGUCGGCGAGGUCCUCAACAUGCCGGCCGCUGCCAACGUUCCCCGCUGCCUCCAUUGCCCGGCUGGCACCUCUGCUCUCAGUGGCGCCAAGAGCUGCGCCCUGUGCCCGCGCGGAUUCUACCAAGACCAGGAACAGUCGGGAUCUUGCAAACGCUGCCCAGCUGGAACGUUCACCCGCUCCGAAGGCUCCAAGACUGUCGACGAAUGUGUUCCGGUUUGCGGAUUUGGAACGUACUCCCCGACCGGAUUGGUCCCUUGUCUGGAAUGCCCGCGCGACAGCUUCACCGGCACUCCACCACCUGGCGGAUUCACCGAUUGCCAGGCCUGUCCGGCCGAUGCUCCAUUCACCCACCAGCCGGCCGCUCCUUCGGUUGCCACUUGCCGACCCAAAUGCGCAGCAGGAACUUACUCGGUCACCGGACUGGCUCCUUGCGCCGCCUGCCCCAAUCACUUUUUCCAACCGAUGGAAGGCAAAAUGUCGUGCGUGGAAUGUCCAGGCUCGGCUAUGACGGUCGGCACGGGAGCCAAGAGUCGCGACGAGUGCCAGCCGCUGGCUUGCAAGGAAGGAUUCUGCCGGAACGGCGGAUUGUGUCUAGCUCAAACUCACAUGGCCUAUUGCUACUGUCCUUCCGGAUUCAGCGGACGCUUUUGCGAAGUCAACAUCGACGACUGCGCCUCCCAGCCGUGCUACAAUGGCGGAACGUGUCGCGAUCAAGAGCAAGGCUACCUCUGCUCCUGCCCGCCAGGCUAUUCCGGCCUCCAGUGUCAAGACGAAGAGUCGAGUUGCAACGCCACCACCUGUAACGACCGCUCCAUGUGUAAGAACGAGCCUGGACAGGGUCAGUUCACUUGUCUCUGCCGGACGGGCUACACCGGGCCCAACUGCAGCAGCACCUUGGAUCCGUGCGCCGAAAAUCCUUGCUCCAACUCUGCCCAGUGCAUUCCGCUCAAACAGGGCCGCUUCAAGUGCGCCUGUCCGGCUGGAUGGGAGGGCCCCCUCUGCGACCAAAAUGUGGACGACUGCGCCGAAUCGCCUUGCUUGCUGGGCAGCAACUGUACGGAUCUCGUUGACGAUUUCAGUUGCUCCUGCCCCACCGGCUUUACCGGCAAACGUUGCGAAACUAAAGUUGAUCUUUGCCAGCCGUCGCCCUGCGGCGAUCACGGCCAAUGCGUCGAUCGCUACUUUAACGCCCUGUGCAUCUGCCAACCGGGCUGGACCGGUCCCAACUGCACUGCCCAGGUGGAUGAAUGCUCUUCCAACCCGUGUUUCAACGGAGGUCAAUGCCAGGAUGUUGAAGGCGAUUACCAAUGCCUUUGCCCACUGGGUUUCACUGGGAAAAACUGCCAACACAAUGUCGACUACUGCGGAGUCCAGCCGUGCCAGCACGGCGGCACUUGCACGGAUGCGCUCGAAAGCUUCCAGUGCCAAUGUCGGCCCGGUUUCCUUGGCGUCCAAUGUGAAAUCGACAUCGACGAGUGCCUGGACAACCCUUGCGAUCCUGUCGGCACUGAUCGCUGCCUGGACCAGAUCAACAAAUAUCACUGCCAAUGCCGGCCAGGAUUUACCGGCACCUUGUGCGAGAAUAAAAUCAACGAAUGCGCACCCGUCUCCCCUUGUCUCAAUGGCGGCGUCUGCACCGAACUGGUCAACAACUUUAAAUGCACUUGCCCAGCAGGAUGGACUGGACAGCGUUGCGAAAAGGACCUAAGCUUCUGCGAAUCCCAGCCGUGUUUGAACAACGCCAACUGCAUCAAUCUGCUUGGCGACUUCUUCUGCGCUUGCCCGUCUGGCACGGAUGGUAAACGGUGCGAAACGGCUCCCGAUCGCUGCAUCGGCGAUCCUUGCAUGAACCAGGGCCAGUGUCGCGAUUUCGGAUCAGGCCUCAACUGCACUUGCGAUAGCGACUACGUCGGCGUCGGUUGUCAACACGAAUUCGACGCUUGCUCCACUGGAGUGUGCCAGAAUGGCGCCACAUGCAUCGACAACGGGGCCAGCUACCAGUGCGUCUGUCCCGACGGCUUUUCGGGCCGCCAUUGCGAGCAAGAUGUCGUUGAAUGUGUUCCGGGCGCUUGUCCUCUGUCGGCGACAUGCAUCGACCUGAUUGACGACUUCUACUGCCGUUGCCCGUUCAAUCUGACGGGCGAGGAUUGCCGUAAGAUCGUCCAGACCGAUUACGAUUUCUUCUUUAGCGACGAGACUCGACGGGCCAGCGCAUCUUUAGUCGUGCCUUUUGUCCUUGGCUCUUCUAGCUUGACGUUAGCCCUCUGGGUUCAAUUCACCAACCGGGACGACCUGGGCAACAUUUUGACACUCUACUCUGUCGAGUCGUCGAGUACGUUACGCAACCAGCGAAUUAUGGCCCAGGUUCACAGCUCUGGUGUGCACAUUGCUCUCCUGCCGGGCAUCAAGGAUGUCUUUUUACCGUUCCGCGUCAACUUGGCCAUCAACGACGGCCAGUGGCAUCACAUUGCACUCGUCUGGGACGGCCCUCACGGCGCCAUCACUUUGACCACCGACGGCGUCAUCGUCGGCCGCGUCGAAAACUACGGAGUCAACCGAACCUUGUCUCAGUUCGGCUGGAUGACGCUGGGCGCGCCCAAUUCGGCUGGCAAAACCCGGACGGAACACGGUUUCCACGGUCACUUGACGCGAGUCCACCUGUGGGGCCGGCCUCUCGAUGUCAUCACCGACAUUCCGAAACAAGUUCGCAGCUGCCAAUCAGCGCCCAUGCUCUUUGACGGUCUCCUGCUCCAGUGGAGCGGCUACGACCGUAUCGAACGCGGAGUGGAACGCGUCAUGCCUUCGGCUUGCGGCCAGCGAGUUUGCCCGCUCGGCUUCUCUGGGCCCAGCUGCGCAUCGCUGGACAAAGACAAGAUUCCUCCUCAGGUGGUUCGUUGCCCCAGUGACAUCUGGAUCGAAACGCGCAACGGUUCGGCCCGUGUCGACUGGAACGAGCCGCAGUUUAGCGACAACAUUCGACUGGCCCAAGUGGAGGAAACGCGCGGCAUUCGCUCGGGCAACACCCUCGCCUGGGGCACUUACGACGUUGCUUACGUGGCCUACGACGAAGCUGGAAAUUCGGCUGUUUGCGCUUUCAAGAUUUACAUCGUCAACGAAUUUUGUCCCAAAUUGGCCGAUCCUGUUGGCGGAUCUCAGCGCUGCUCCGACUGGGGACCCGGCGGCCGCUUCAAAGUCUGCUCGAUUGAAUGUAAUGCCGGCCUAGCUUUCUCCGUGCCCGUCCCCAAAUUUUACACUUGCGGAGCCGAAGGUUUCUGGCGGCCGACCGAAGAUCCUGGCGUUUCCUUCGUCUAUCCGGCCUGCAGUUCCACCAAACCGGCCCAACGCAUCGUGAAAAUCAAGCUGCAGUAUUUGAGCUCGGUGCUGUGCAACGAAGCUGGGCAAAGCGUUUUGUCAGACAAGGUGCGCCAGGCCAUUCAGAAACUGAACCGCGACUGGCGUUUCUGCAACGCCAAAGGCUCUCAAUCGGCCACCUGUAACGACCUCAAUGUUAACAUCAAAUGCCAGCGUCGUCACGGUGACCUGGGCGUCAAACGACGCCGUCAGGCCGAUGUCAACGACGACGUUUACGACCUGGAGAUCAGCUUCCCCGCCGAAAGCGACCCAGUGACCAACAUCAACACCCAAGAGAAAUCCACAAUCGAACGUCUGUUGGAGACCAUCAUUUUGGAGAAAGACGAUUUCGACGUCCGCGAUUCGCUGCCCACAACCGUGCCGGACCCAGCCACUUUGAGCAUCUCAGCUGAUUUCACUUGCCCAGUCGGCCAGGUGGUCCGUGUCUCCGAGUGCGUGGCUUGCGCUCCCGGUAACGCCUUUGACAUGGAGAAGAAAAAUUGCAAACCCUGUCGAGUGGGAACUUUCCAAGACCAAGCCGGGCAAACGCAGUGUAAGAUCUGCCCCGUCAUCGCCGGUCGUCCAGGCACAACUUUCGCGUCAGGCGCCCGCUCUGCCACGGAUUGUAAGGAACGCUGCCCGGCUGGCAAAUUCUACAGCGAAGAGACUCAACGUUGUCUCAACUGCGGUUUCGGUCAUUACCAAGCGGCCGAAGGAUCGUUUGCUUGUCGCUCUUGCCAGGCUGGUUUGACGACCCGGACGGACCAAGCCAUUUCGGCUGAUGAGUGCUCUGAAGAAUGCCCAACUGGACUGCAGUUGACGUCGUUGUCCAACAACGCCACUUGCGAGCCGUGCCCCAAGGGAACCUACCGCACCAAGGGACGCGAAAUGGCCUGCCAACCGUGCCCGGCAGGAUUCACCACCACUCGAGCCGGCUCUGCCACCGUGGAAGAGUGCUCAGAACCCAAAUGCCAACCGGGUUCGGCUCUUUCUAAGGAGAACACUUGCGUUCUUUGCCAGGUCGGCAGCUACCAACCCAAUGCCCAGCAAACCAGUUGUCUGCCUUGCCCGCCUGAUACGACGACCAAGCUGGCCGGCGCCACCCUCAAGUCAGAUUGCUCCAACCCCUGCAGUCCCGCCACCAACCAGACCAUCUGCCCCGUCAACGGCGUCUGCCUGUUCGUGGCCAGCACCAACGUGCACCGCUGCGAGUGUAAGGCCGGUUUCACGCCCGUACCUCCCGACAGUCCUACCGACUUCACUUGCAUGGACAAAUGCGACAACUUCUGCAAGAACGAUGGCAAGUGCCGUCGCGAUCGUGCCACCGGCGAACCUUACUGCCAAUGUACCGGCAGCUACACCGGACUGCAGUGCGAGGCACAGUCUAAUUUCGCCUACAUUGUUGGUGGAAGUGCUGGUUUCGUCGUGUUUUUGAUCCUUCUCGUCCUGUUGAUCUGGAUGAUUUGCGCCAGGACAUCGCGGCGUCGCGACAGCCAAGCGAAAGCAGCCGCUAACGCUGCCGUCGUGGCCGGAGAUCCUUCCGGCAGUCAGGCCAAUUUCUACUACGGAUCGCACGCGCCGUACGCCGAGUCGAUCGCUCCGUCACAUCAUUCCACUUAUGCGCACUAUUACGACGAAGAGGAAGAUGGUUGGGAGAUGCCCAAUUUUUACAACGAAACCUACAUGAAAGGUAGCAGAGAAUCUGCACAACGUGAACAAGGGGAACAGUCUAGCACGCUCCAACGCCAGCUUAUAUGGUAACAAGGAAGAGCUCUAUGACCGUCUAAGACGACAUGCCUAUCAGGGAAAGAAAGAGAAAAAUGGCAAUGAGACGACUAGCGAGAGUGAUGGACAUUAGGUUCUUUUCUACCACAAAACAACAAAACGUUAAAAAAAAACUACAGAAAAAAAUGUCGGUUCUUUGUGUUAUUUGGUUUCAUGUAGGAAUUCAAGUCUCCUCUUUCUUCUGGACUUUGAAUUGUCGAUUCCCCAAUGUGGUCGAAAGGGUCAUCGCCAAAAUUUCAUUCGGAAGGGUUUUAUUUGGGUGUUUUUUUUUAAAAGAACUCGUUUUAUUUUUUAUUUUUCAUUUUCUUUUCAAAUUGUGUUUGUAAUAACGUCAUACAGUUAAAAAAAAAUCAUUAUGACGUGGUUCUGGCGUCCGAGGAUGGAACGCCGUGAAUUUCUAGCCAACCGAACGAGGGAGACGGCUGAGUGGACGCGAGAACGAUUUCUUUGUAGACCGACUUUUUCCCGUGUUGUUUGACAAUUAUUUGCUCUUUUAUUGGGGAUUCUAAUUUAUGACUGAAACGUACGCUUUAAUUACAUUUCUGUCUGUCAUUAUUUCCAAUUCUAAUGAAGUGUGUUAUAUCAUCAACCAAACAUUUUUUAAAAUCUUCCGUGUAUUUUCUGCUGGGCGACUGCGGUUCGCACUUUUUAGUGAUGUGUGUAAUUUUGUGCAACGCAUUCUUGCGUGAAUUGUGUUUGAUUUGAAUCAUCAAUAUAUAUAUAAAUCCAUAAACGUAA